CGUGACUUAGGAAGGUGGGCAAAGACCAGGAUGGGCGUCAGCUAAAGGAAGGGGCCAUCUUGGGGCGUGGCUAGCGCGGGACAGGGCCUAAGGAGGUGAGCAGAGGGAGGGGACGGAGACGUCCACUGAGGGGCGGGGCUGCUGUAGGACGUGACGAACGUGGGGCGGGGCAUAGGGAGGGUGAGCGGGAACGGGACAAAAGCCGAGGGGUAGGGCCGGCGAGGACGUGAGCAGCGUGAGGCGGGGACUAAGGAGGUUGAACAGAGACCAGAAGUGAACCUAAGCGGAGGGGCGGAGCCAAUGCAAGAGGUGGGCAAGCGAGGAGGGGCCUAAGGGAGGUUUAGGGGGAAUGGGGCGUCAGCGGAGGGGCGGAGCCGUGGGAUGUGUAACCAGUGUGGGGCGCGGCUUAGGGAAGGUGAGCAGAGACGAGGACGGAACGUCAGCUGAAGGACAGGGCCGGCUUGGGGCGUGGCUAGCGCGGGACUGGGCCUAGGGAGGGUGAGCGGAUUUUGGGGCUGGGGACGUCCGCUGAGGAGCGGGGUUGGUAUAGGACGUCGCGAACGUGGGGAGGGGCCUAGGGAGGGUGAGCGGGAACGGCACAAAAGCCGAGGGGCAGGGCCGGUGUAGGACGUGGCCAGCCAUGUGGCGCGGCCUAGGGAGGAUGAGCGGGGAGUGAGUGUCAGGCGAGGGGCGGGACGGGCGUAAUACGUGGUCACCGUGAGGCGGAGCCUAAGGAAGGUGAGCAGAGCGUCCAGAGGUGGAAUCAACGACCCGCGGGUCGAGGGAAGGUGCGUGUAGACCGGGAACAACUUGUCACCUGAGGGGGGGAGCCAGACUGGACGUCGCCACGGUGGGUGGGGCCUAGGAGGACGAGCGGGGGCGGGCGGUUUGCGGCGCGGGCCACUCCCCCUUCCGCCCCCGCCUUUCCGGUCCCGCUCCUCCUUGCGUCCCACGCGCCAGCGGACUGGCCGCUCUAGUGGGUUUGGGGGUGCUUGGUGUCUGGGGAGCUGGCUGCUUCUUCCCUAGCUGCCGUGACUGUUUCAGGGAAUUCCAGAGAGAGUGCUAGCGGCGGGGGGACAGAGGGAGGGACAGAAUCCAAUGCAGGCUGCAAGCCUGAGCCAAGCCAAUACAGCGCUGGAUCCCAGACCCUGGGACGAUCUGAGUGAAAAUCGAGAGUCUGAUGCUCAACCGUCUGAGCCACCCACGCCCCCGAUAAGUGUGGGAUAUUGUUUUUUGUGGGUUUUUUUCCCUUAAUUUUUUUUAUGUUUAUUCAUUUUUUGAGAGACGGAGAAAGAGUGCUAGCGGGGGAGGGGCAGAGAGAAGACACAGAAUCAGAAGCAAGCCCCUGGCCCCGAAAGCCCCUUGCAGCCCGAACCCACAGAUCGUGAGAUCAAGACCUGAGCGAAGUCGGACUCAACCGACUGAACCACCCAGGUGCCCCAAGUGUGGGAUAUUAUGAUUACUGCUUUUGUUUUCUAUUUCUUAAUGUUUUAUGUCAAGUUGGGAUAAUGAAUGAGGUUUGUAAAAUGGAUACCAUUUGGGAAUAUGUGGAUUUUGCUUUUAAUUGAUGAAAAAUUAAUUUUUCAAUAUCUGGGAACAUUUGAUAGGGAUGUUUCUUGUUUGCCAUUGUUAACCUUAAAAACAAAACUGCCAGGGGGCCCCAAACCGGACACCAAGCUGAGCAUGGAGACUGCUUGGUUGCUGUCUCUCCCUGUGCCCCUCUUCCCUCCCCUGUGUGAAAGCACAUUUUAUCUCUCUCUCUCUCUCU
Herpailurus yagouaroundi (jaguarundi) is the source of this 1768-nucleotide long non-coding RNA. RefSeq lists it as uncharacterized. The record is from RefSeq and is a predicted model, not a curated record. NCBI's taxonomy places the organism in Eukaryota, Metazoa, Chordata, Mammalia, Carnivora, Felidae. The transcript has 2 exons.